AUGGAGAGGCCUAAAUUUCAAGUCAGACUUGAAGCUGCUGUUGCACACAGGGAGCCUCUAACCUGGCCCAUCGCUCCCGAUGGCUACAUCCCCAACUCUGUGAUCCGCAGCCGGAGGAGGAAGGGCAAGAAACUUUGGGAUGACAGCUUCUUUCAUGGUCAACGAACGGAUGAAUGCACCACAGGUUACAAGCAGGAUAAAAUCACAGAUUAUUUAUGGUUCCAGACUGAAAAUGAGAAAGAAGGUGAGCUGAAAAGAAAGAAGAGCGGACCAGAAGAUGAGAGGACAAGGAAAGAAAGUAAAAAAAUAGGCUGGCAAGGACGUGACGAUACAAAGGAAGAAGAAACAGAGAAGAAGACAGAAAAGGAAGCUGAAAAAGCUCAAGAAAAGCUGGAGGUGAUGAGAAAGAAAAAAACUGAUGCAAAGAAAGAAAAUGGCAAAGACGAGACGGAGAAGUUUAUCCAGACUGCGAGUCCUGUGAACGAACAACCGAAACCCUCUGAGGACGCUAAUGUGGCGCCUCAAAAGCAAGCAGAUGAUCCAACAAAUGCUCCGGACUUCCUACCAACUUCCUGUGAUGAGAAGAGAAGCAAACCUGUGAGAGAGCUGAAGACAGAAAUGGAGCUCUGUGAAGUCAUUCCCAAAGUGAAUGAUGUGAGUGAAGAGAAGGACGAGGGGCAGCCCGACCAAACAGGAAAAGUACGUUGAGAAAAUGAUUCCCCGUCAGAAGUAUUAAAGUCAGCAAUACUUCUGUGAACAUCACUCCAACAAACGUCACUUGUUGGCUGAUAUUAAUUGACUGUGAUGUGCUCAGAGGAAAGAGAGCGAGCAGGAGAAAACAGCCAGAGCCGAAACAGCCAGAGCCGAAACAGCCAGAGCCGAAACAGCCAGAGCAGAAACAGCCAGAGCAGAAACAGCCAGAGCAGAACGACCAGGUAAAGUAGAGUUUUACAGGGACAAAUAUUGAUCAUUUUCACU
This 978-nucleotide long non-coding RNA is filed under the name Oreochromis niloticus (Nile tilapia). RNAcentral describes it as "lncRNA (ENSONIG00000030459.1)". The record is from RNAcentral. Lineage: Eukaryota; Metazoa; Chordata; Actinopteri; Cichliformes; Cichlidae.